Molecule: ribosomal RNA, 253 nt
Filed under: uncultured bacterium
Lineage: Bacteria
Description: partial 16S ribosomal RNA
Rfam family: Bacterial small subunit ribosomal RNA
Source: RNAcentral
GACAGAGGUGCCAAGCGUUAGGCGGAAUCACUGGGCUUAAAGCGUGUGUAGGCGGUCCACUAAGUCGGGUGUGAAAGCCCUGGGCUCAACCCAGGAAGUGCACUCGAAACUGGCGGGCUAGAGUAUCGGAGAGGUUGGUGGAAUUCUCGGUGUAGAGGUGAAAUUCGUAGAUAUCGAGAGGAACACCGGUGGCGAAGGCGGCCAACUGGACGAAUACUGACGCUGAGACACGAAAGCGUGGGGAGCAAACAGG